UAAGAAAACAACCCGCGAAAGUACCAGUUAGUAUUGCCUGUUGUUUUGUUUACCAGCAACAACAUGUCUGUCUUCUCAAACAGGAAACCUCAAGUGGAAGUCAGAAACCGCUUGACGCAAGCACGCUUUGGAGAACUACGCACGCAAAAGUGUCUUCUUCCUCAAGCCCAUUUCUUCAAGACAACAAAGUGAAAGCAGAGACCAAGAUAAUUCCCGAAGUUACGAGCAGAGGCACGCUUUUAUGAGGGGAAAAAACAUCAGCCGCCACCUCUGAAAUGAAAAAGCCUUGAAAGCGGUCUGCCACCCUGCAGGACAGCUGCUCGGAGACAUGUUUGACAGAAGUGGCAGGUUGCCAAACUGCUCCCUGCUCGGUUUGAAGUAGACCUUGAUGUGACCUCCAUAGAGCUUCCAGACGAGCACCGGAUUCUGUUUUUAGAAUAUGCACCAGGCUACUUCCGGUUUGGUCACCUAGCAACCAAGCUUGUUCCCUCCCAUGUGAUGAACAUCCUCUCAGAGCACCUGACAACGCGACUGAAGCCAAAAAACGUCCCCCGACGAGGGCGAGAGGUGGAGCGCAAAGGGGGAGCUCGCACCCCCCACCCCCCAAACUCCCACCCGCCCUCGAAAGAAGACAAGUUGCUAGUUGGUGGUGUUGAGAGUCCUGGAAUGACUCCUGGAUGCAGACCUCCUGGAACUUGACCAUCAGGUCCAUCAAGGUGAUCAGAUAACAUAAAGGGGCUGAGCACGCUACCCUGUGGGAUGCCAGUGUUUGAUUGAGCACCUGUCCCAGAUGUGCACUUUCCAACAUCGUACCAAUUUGAGGAGACCUGAGUUCACGCUAUUGUGUGGUGACAUUCCUUGUGAUGUUGCACACCCAUCCUGUCCAGACAGGAGCAGACAAGCUGAGGUUGAGGGCGGUGGCAGUGUGUGUCUAAUUACGAGGCGGCGGCGAUCCCGACGGCUCUGUUUGAAGAAUAUGGCAACUGUACAGCUUCUUCGACAAGUAUUCAUUUUUUUUACGACCACCACCUUUGGAGGAGAUCUGACAUCUCUUGCUUCUUCUCACAUGGGCCACUGCAGACACCACACAGACGGCAAACGUCGUUUGUGACCAUCUGCUGACUUGAAGCAUCGAAGAUGAAGGCUUCCCUACAGCUGGCGCCGUGUUAUAUGCACGAGUUAAGCACAUCUCAAAACGUCUGGGAAAGCAGGAAACACAGUUAAUUG
Syngnathus acus (greater pipefish) is the source of this 1227-nucleotide long non-coding RNA. RefSeq lists it as uncharacterized. The transcript is spliced from 10 exons. NCBI's taxonomy places the organism in Eukaryota, Metazoa, Chordata, Actinopteri, Syngnathiformes, Syngnathidae. The record is from RefSeq and is a predicted model, not a curated record.